RNAcentral lists this ribosomal RNA (228 nucleotides) under Triticum aestivum (bread wheat). RNAcentral's name for it is "partial small subunit ribosomal RNA". Lineage: Eukaryota; Viridiplantae; Streptophyta; Magnoliopsida; Poales; Poaceae. The record is from RNAcentral.
AUGUUACUGGGGCUAGUGCUUCUUGUGCUAGAGAUAUAUCUUCUGAUGAAUCAAGUGAUGAUAAUGCGGUUCCUUUCGAGAAACCCGAUGAUAGUGCUGAAACGAAGUUGGCAUCUUCAAAGGAACCAAAACCAAGCAAGAAGCGCAAGCAACCUUCUAAUGCAAAUGAGGAGAAGGAAGAGAAGAGUCCAUUCUUACGUUUGUACAAGCAGACAUGCGAGAAAAUAG